This 484-nucleotide ribosomal RNA is filed under the name uncultured bacterium. RNAcentral's name for it is "partial 16S ribosomal RNA". It matches the Rfam family "Bacterial small subunit ribosomal RNA", at positions 30 to 507 of the family's 1533-position model. The record is from RNAcentral.
AUUGAACGCUGGCGGCAGGCCUAACACAUGCAAGUCGAGCGGAUGAAGGGAGCUUGCUCCUGGAUUCAGCGGCGGACGGGUGAGUAAUGCCUAGGAAUCUGCCUGGUAGUGGGGGAUAACGUCCGGAAACGGGCGCUAAUACCGCAUACGUCCUGAGGGAGAAAGUGGGGGAUCUUCGGACCUCACGCUAUCAGAUGAGCCUAGGUCGGAUUAGCUAGUUGGUGGGGUAAAGGCCUACCAAGGCGACGAUCCGUAACUGGUCUGAGAGGAUGAUCAGUCACACUGGAACUGAGACACGGUCCAGACUCCUACGGGAGGCAGCAGUGGGGAAUAUUGGACAAAGGGCGAAAGCCUGAUCCAACCAUGCCGCGUGUGUGAAGAAGGUCUUCGGAUUGAAAAGCACUUUAAGUUGGGAGGAAGGGCAGUCAGUUAAUACCUUGCUGUUUUGACGUUACCAACAGAAUAAGCACCGGCUAACUUCGUG